Molecule: ribosomal RNA, 400 nt
Filed under: uncultured bacterium
Lineage: Bacteria
Description: bacterial SSU rRNA
Rfam family: Bacterial small subunit ribosomal RNA
Source: RNAcentral
UGGGGAAUAUUGGACAAUGGGGGCAACCCUGAUCCAGCAAUGCCGCGUGAGUGAAGAAGGCCUUCGGGUUGUAAAGCUCUUUUACCAGGGACGAUAAUGACGGUACCUGGGGAAUAAGCUCCGGCUAACUUCGUGCCAGCAGCCGCGGUAAUACGAAGGGAGCUAGCGUUGUUCGGAAUUACUGGGCGUAAAGGGCGCGUAGGCGGUUGGAUACGUCUGAUGUGAAAGACCUGGGCUUAACCUGGGAAGUGCAUUGGAUACGGUCUGACUGGAGUGCGAGAGAGGAUUGUGGAAUUGCGCAUGUAGAGGUGAAAUUCGUAGAUAUGCGCAAGAACACCAGAGGCGAAGGCGACAAUCUGGCUCGCAACUGACGCUAAGGCGCGAAAGCGUGGGGAGCAAA